Molecule: long non-coding RNA, 213 nt
Filed under: Mytilus galloprovincialis (Mediterranean mussel)
Lineage: Eukaryota; Metazoa; Mollusca; Bivalvia; Mytilida; Mytilidae
Source: RNAcentral
GGUAAUCUAUGCCUGAGGUAGAAAAGCCUUAGUAUUUAAAAAAAAAUCAAAAAUUUGUAAACAGUAAAUUUUUAAAUAUAACCAUAUCAAUGACAAUUCAUGUCAGCACAAAAAGUGCUGACUACUGGGCUUGUGAUACCCUCGGGGACAUAAAUCUCCACCAGCAGUGGCAUCGACCCAGUGGUUGUAAAUAAACUCAUCAUAGAUACCAGG